Aedes albopictus (Asian tiger mosquito) is the source of this 1173-nucleotide RNA transcript. RefSeq lists it as uncharacterized. The transcript has 3 exons. The record is from RefSeq and is a predicted model, not a curated record. Lineage: Eukaryota; Metazoa; Arthropoda; Insecta; Diptera; Culicidae.
CAAUACGGAUGACGACGCAUACAUCGGCACAAGCUGUCGGUGGGAGAGCACUGGAGCCGAAAAGUGAAAACCAAUUUCAGUUCGCCUCAGCACGGUCCGGCGUCAAGAUCGCAAAGAUCCCGUCGCGCACAUUCAUCGCCGCAAGUUCUAUUGCAAGCAAGCAAACCGUGAAAUUUAGUUUCCAUCUCCCAGGAGGGACGAGUGCGAAUAAGCAAAAUCGAUUGUGACUAAAUGUGCGAUUGGUGCCGGACACGGCUGCGAACAAUUGGGAGGAAGAGAUCCGAGUCGGAUUAGACGCCACGUGUCUGCUAUUCUGGUGGUCAUCGGACCGAAAUAAUCCGAUACAAGUUGGAGUACGGAAAGCAUCGAGCAGGAACUCGGGUUUGUUCGAGAUAAAUCCGCCUAGCAGCUGGCGUUGGGACCUCAAGAAGGCCGGAAUAGCAACUUGGCGGACACGAGGGUGACGCAGAAAGCGGUCGGAUCGAAGCUUGGGCAGCAAAAUACCAUCGAAAGGCCCCUGCAAGGGUGAGUUGAAAUGAAUCUUCUAAAAGCGCAUCCGACUGAAUGCAUUUCUGCAUUUCCCAGGGCCUUUUUUGGCAGAUCUACGCAGUUUUUAACGAGUCGGCAACCGGGUCGACACCUUCAUCGCCAUCUUUGCUGCGUCGCUUGCGGCUCGCGUCGCCCACCGUUUUUGGCAUCUCCUACCGCCGUACCGUGGGUUGGUGCGACUUUGGAACGAAGUGUUCGUGCCCUGUCGGCAGAAAAGAGAGAAGUUGGAGUUGGAGCUCUGCAUCAGGGAGGCCGGCGAGACCAGACCGGUGGUAAUCCGUGUGGCAUCGGCCAAGGUCGCGGUGGAGGUGGCAGCCACGGCGACGGUACCGACGGUGCGCGUAGGUGCUGGGCAACAGCUUCCAUGCAGUGGUUCCCCAGACCGGGAGUGAUUAACAACAAUGCGCUGGCAGGAAGAGGUGCCAAUCCGGCGCGUGAAUCUGGCAAUGGCGCCGGGAAGCGGGGCCGUGAGUACUAUCCUAGGUUAAGCCAAUCAUUGUAAGGGGGACAAAACAUAGAUUAAGCUACAAGCAGCUAGAGAUAGGGAGCAGGCGGUCAUGAUGGCUAUCAAUAUAUGUAAUUAAAACUACUUUUGGUUUUGUGAGUUUUUGUUGGUGCACAUAG